Long non-coding RNA from Bufo bufo (common toad), 500 nucleotides. RefSeq lists it as uncharacterized. Lineage: Eukaryota; Metazoa; Chordata; Amphibia; Anura; Bufonidae. The record is from RefSeq and is a predicted model, not a curated record. The transcript has 3 exons.
UGCUGUCCACACAGAGGUCUUGUCCAUAAGAUGGCCGCUGAUGGCCUACUCUUUAAAUAUUCUUAUUAUAACAACGAUUUUGGGCAUUCUGCAUACUUUGAAGGACGCCUACCUCAACAGCAGAGUUUUGUAUAUUUAUAUUAUAUUUAAAAAAAAUGAAUAGCAAGCCAUGCAUGGGACUCCUUUAGAAUUUACAUUAGUAUCACCUGAUAAUACUUGAUUCUCUUCCAGUUUUCAUACAAAAUGUGUUGUCAUUACCAUGGAGUUGUGGAAGCAUUUUCAUGGCUGCUACAGUAUAUACACUAUACAUGGCAUCUGAUUGGCACAUGCUGUACAAUACUAUUUCUUGGCUGAGGGUUUCUAGAACAAUAUUUUCAAUGCUUUGUAUUAGUAGUAAUAUAUUUUUGCCUCAUAUGAAGACGCUACUAAUGUUUUGUAGCACAUUCUGACUGUUAUUUUAUAGACUUUAUAUUGGUGUACAUUGUAUAUUAUUUUGAAAU